Molecule: ribosomal RNA, 755 nt
Filed under: uncultured archaeon
Lineage: Archaea
Description: bacterial SSU rRNA
Rfam family: Archaeal small subunit ribosomal RNA
Source: RNAcentral
UAACCUGUCCUUGGGUCCGGCAUAACCCCGGGAAACUGGGGAUAAUUCCGGAUAACGCACAUAUGCUGGAAUGCUUUAUGCGUAAAAUGGAUUCGUCUGCCCAAGGAUGGGUCUGCGGCCUAUCAGGUAGUAGUGGGUGUAAUGUACCUACUAGCCUACGACGGGUACGGGUUGUGAGAGCAAGAGCCCGGAGAUGGAUUCUGAGACAUGAAUCCAGGCCCUACGGGGCGCAGCAGGCGCGAAAACUUUACAAUGCGGGAAACCGUGAUAAGGGGACACCGAGUGCCAGCAUCCUAUGCUGGCUGUCCGGGUGUGUAAAAUACACCUGUUACAAGGGCCGGGCAAGACCGGUGCCAGCCGCCGCGGUAACACCGGCGGCUCGAGUGGUAACCGUUAUUAUUGGGUCUAAAGGGUCUGUAGCCGGCCGGAUAAGUCUCUUGGGAAAUCUGGCAGCUUAACUGUCAGGCUUUCAGGAGAUACUGUCUGGCUCGAGGCCGGGAGAGGUGAGAGGUACUUCAGGGGUAGGGGUGAAAUCUUGUAAUCCUUGAAGGACCACCAGUGGCGAAGGCGUCUCACCAGACCGGACCUGACGGCAAGGGGCGAAAGCUAGGGGCACGAACCGGAUUAGAUACCCGGGUAGUCCUAGCCGUAAACGAUACUCGCUAGGUGUCGGCCACGGUGCGACCGUUGUCGGUGCCGUAGGGAAGCCGUGAAGCGAGCCACCUGGGAAGUACGGCCGCAAGGCUGAAACUUAG